This is a long non-coding RNA of Lingula anatina, 433 nucleotides long. Lineage: Eukaryota; Metazoa; Brachiopoda; Lingulata; Lingulida; Lingulidae. The record is from RefSeq and is a predicted model, not a curated record.
GUGGCAGUUAUGUUGGCAACGGUGGAGCACCCCCGGGCUUUACCUCCCCCGAGGACAUUGCCCGGUGGGUUGGUAACAAUCUGCAGAGACUUGCACAGAAUGUUGGACGUUAGACUGAAUGACACCAUCUCCACCUAUCGGCCAUUAGAUGCGCUGGAUCGGGAAGGUUCCAGAUUGACGAAGUUGUUCUAAGGACAAAUGGCAGUACCUCAAUAAUUUUUCAUAAAAUCACAUCUUCCUGUUUUUAUUGCAUCUGAAAAAAUGUCUGUAACCCGUUAACAUCAUCAGCUUUACUUAUUAUAUUUGCUAUUGGAUAUAGAGAGCCAUUAAUAGGUUCUGAACGUAAUUCAUGCUAACAGAGGUUGAAGUAAAGGAUUUUGAAAUCUCAGCCUGUUUCGGGUAUAUACAAUGCUGUAAAUAAAAACUGCGCAUA